RNAcentral lists this ribosomal RNA (554 nucleotides) under Scinax pachycrus. Its description in RNAcentral is "partial large subunit ribosomal RNA". It matches the Rfam family "Bacterial large subunit ribosomal RNA", at positions 1861 to 2603 of the family's 2925-position model. The record is from RNAcentral. Lineage: Eukaryota; Metazoa; Chordata; Amphibia; Anura; Hylidae.
GCCCAGUGACACAUGUUCAACGGCCGCGGUAUCCUAACCGUGCGAAGGUAGCGUAAUCACUUGUUCUUUAAAUGAGGACUAGUAUGAAUGGCACCACGAGGGUUAUACUGUCUCCUCUUUCUAAUCAGUGAAACUAAUCUCCCCGUGAAGAAGCGGGGAUAGACCUAUAAGACGAGAAGACCCUAUGGAGCUUUAAACUUCUCUUCAAACGCCAGACCUCCAUUCCACAAGCCAUAGACUUUUUUAUACUAACCAUCGGCGCCAUGAAGAUGACUUUUAGGUUGGGGUGACCAUGGAGCAUAAAAAAACCUCCACGCUGAACUAGGCCUCCAAGCCUUGAGCCAAGGGCCACGACCCGCCGCACUAAUAAACUAACACCAAUUGACCCAAAUUUAUUUGAUCAACGAACCAAGUUACCCUAGGGAUAACAGCGCAAUCCACUUCAAGAGUUCUUAUCGACAAGUGGGUUUACGACCUCGAUGUUGGAUCAGGGUAUCCCAGUGGUGCAGCCGCUACUAAUGGUUCGUUUGUUCAACGAUUAAAACCCUACGUGA